CGGGAAACUGGGAAUAAUUCCGGAUAACGCACAAUAUGCUGGAAUGCUUUAUGCGUAAAAUGGAUUCGUCUGCCCAAGGAUGGGUCUGCGGCCUAUCAGGUAGUAGUGGGUGUAAUGUACCUACUAGCCAACAACGGGUACGGGUUGUGAGAGCAAGAGCCCGGAGAUGGAUUCUGAGACAUGAAUCCAGGCCCUACGGGGCGCAGCAGGCGCGAAAACUUUACAAUGCGGGAAACCGUGAUAAGGGGACACCGAGUGCCAGCAUCAUAUGCUGGCUGUCCAGGUGUGUAAAAUACACCUGUUAGCAAGGGCCGGGCAAGACCGGUGCCAGCCGCCGCGGUAACACCGGCGGCCCGAGUGGUGAUCGUGAUUAUUGGGUCUAAAGGGUCCGUAGCCGGUUUGGUCAGUCCUCCGGGAAAUCUGACGGCUUAACCGUUAGGCUUUCGGGGGAUACUGCCAGGCUUGGAACCGGGAGAGGUAAGAGGUACUACAGGGGUAGGAGUGAAAUCUUGUAAUCCCUGUGGGACCACCUGUGGCGAAGGCGUCUUACCAGAACGGGUUCGACGGUGAGGGACGAAAGCUGGGGGCACGAACCGGAUUAGAUACCCGGGUAGUCCCAGCCGUAAACGAUGCUCGCUAGGUGUCAGGCAUGGCGCGACCGUGUCUGGUGCCGCAGGGAAGCCGUGAAGCGAGCCACCUGGGAAGUACGGCCGCAAGGCUGAAACUUAAAGGAAUUGGCGGGGGAGCACAA
Molecule: ribosomal RNA, 751 nt
Filed under: uncultured Methanosarcinaceae archaeon
Lineage: Archaea; Methanobacteriati; Methanobacteriota; Methanomicrobia; Methanosarcinales; Methanosarcinaceae
Description: SSU rRNA
Rfam family: Archaeal small subunit ribosomal RNA
Source: RNAcentral